AUCGCUUCUCGGCUCAAUGAGCUAAGAUCAAAGUGUAGUGUCUGUUCUUAUCAGCUUAAUAUCUGGUACGUCUCGCAUUGCGAGACCAGUAUAUUAAACUUCUUUUUGGAACAUGGUAGAAUGUUAGGAGCUUGCUCCUCUUCUACCGCGGGUUGACCCGGUAUAGCAGUACCACAGGGAUCGGCCCUAUUUAA
Small nuclear RNA from Chrysoperla carnea, 194 nucleotides. RefSeq annotates it as U2 spliceosomal RNA. The record is from RefSeq and is a predicted model, not a curated record. The transcript has a single exon. NCBI's taxonomy places the organism in Eukaryota, Metazoa, Arthropoda, Insecta, Neuroptera, Chrysopidae.